RNAcentral lists this long non-coding RNA (397 nucleotides) under Salvia miltiorrhiza (redroot sage). RNAcentral describes it as "long non-coding RNA (SMIL_LNC010224)". The record is from RNAcentral. Lineage: Eukaryota; Viridiplantae; Streptophyta; Magnoliopsida; Lamiales; Lamiaceae.
UCUCUUUUUCACCGCCGUUCGUUGUAGACAGCAGCAACGCCGCUGCCUUCUUCUUCCACUGACAGCAGCACCUCCCCCAUCUCUAUACCGACGGCAAGAGAAAAUUCUCGACAAUAGCAGAUAAGCCUCAAUUAUCAUCCACAUCAAACCCAUUUUGGGCGAAAUCCCCAAAUUGAAAUAAAAAAACAGCAGCAGCAGGAGAAAAAUAUAACCUGAAAAACAAGGUGAUAAUGCAGCAGCUAUGCUCUUUCUUGUCUUGCAUUACUUCUUCCUCAUUUCUCUCCAGUUUUCCCGCCGAGUCGUCACUGGAAAUUUUGGGGAAAGGGGUGGCUGGAUUUAGGGAUCUAGGGUUUGGGAGCCUAGGGCUCGGCGGCGGCGGCUCUACCGUCGUUUCGAU